CCUACGGGAGGCAGCAGUGAGGAAUAUUGGUCAAUGGACGAGAGUCUGAACCAGCCAAGUAGCGUGAAGGAUGACUGCCCUAUGGGUUGUAAACUUCUUUUAUAAAGGAAUAAAACGAGGCACGUGUGCCUUUUUGCAUGUACUUUAUGAAUAAGGAUCGGCUAACUCCGUGCCAGCAGCCGCGGUAAUACGGAGGAUCCGAGCGUUAUCCGGAUUUAUUGGGUUUAAAGGGAGCGUAGAUGGGUUGUUAAGUCAGUUGUGAAAGUUUGCGGCUCAACCGUAAAAUUGCAAUUGAUACUGGCAGUCUUGAGUACAGGUGAGGUAGGCGGAAUGCGAGGUGUAGCGGUGAAAUGCUUAGAUAUCACGAAGAACCCCGAUUGCGAAGGCAGCAUACUAAACUGUGACUGACAUUGAUGCUCGAAAGUGUGGGUAUCAAACAGGAUUAGAUACCCCUGUAGUC
This 460-nucleotide ribosomal RNA is filed under the name uncultured bacterium. Its description in RNAcentral is "partial 16S ribosomal RNA". It matches the Rfam family "Bacterial small subunit ribosomal RNA", at positions 338 to 795 of the family's 1533-position model. The record is from RNAcentral.